AGCGAACGCUGGCGGCAGGCCUAACACAUGCAAGUCGAACGAACCUUUCGGGGUUAGUGGCGGACGGGUGAGUAACACGUGGGAACGUGCCUUUAGGUUCGGAAUAACUCAGGGAAACUUGUGCUAAUACCGAAUGUGCCCUUCGGGGGAAAGAUUAAUCGCCUUUAGAGCGGCCCGCGUCUGAUUAGCUAGUUGGUUGAGGUAAUGGCUCACCAAGGCGACGAUCAGUAGCUGGUCUGAGAGGAUGAUCAGCCACAUUGGGACUGAGACACGGCCAAAACUCCUACGGGAGGCAGCAGUGGGGAAUCUUGCGCAAUGGGCGAAAGCCUGACGCAGCCAUGCCGCGUGAAUGAUGAAGGUCUUAGGAUUGUAAAAUUCUUUCACCGGGGACGAUAAUGACGGUACCCGGAGAAGAAGCCCCGGCUAACUUCGUG
This 434-nucleotide ribosomal RNA is filed under the name uncultured bacterium. RNAcentral's name for it is "partial 16S ribosomal RNA". It matches the Rfam family "Bacterial small subunit ribosomal RNA", at positions 29 to 507 of the family's 1533-position model. The record is from RNAcentral.